RNAcentral lists this ribosomal RNA (443 nucleotides) under Cassava witches'-broom aster yellows phytoplasma. RNAcentral's name for it is "bacterial SSU rRNA". It matches the Rfam family "Bacterial small subunit ribosomal RNA", at positions 733 to 1185 of the family's 1533-position model. The record is from RNAcentral. Lineage: Bacteria; Bacillati; Mycoplasmatota; Mollicutes; Acholeplasmatales; Acholeplasmataceae.
GUCUUUACUGACGCUGAGGCACGAAAGCGUGGGGAGCAAACAGGAUUAGAUACCCUGGUAGUCCACGCCGUAAACGAUGAGUACUAAAUGUUGGGUAAAACCAGUGUUGAAGUUAACACAUUAAGUACUCCGCCUGAGUAGUACGUACGCAAGUAUGAAACUUAAAGGGAUUGACGGGACUCCGCACAAGCGGUGGAUCAUGUUGUUUAAUUCGAAGGUACCCGAAAAACCUCACCAGGUCUUGACAUGCUUCUGCAAAGCUGUAGAAGCACAGUGGAGGUUAUCAGUUGCACAGGUGGUGCAUGGUUGUCGUCAGCUCGUGUCGUGAGGUGUUGGGUUAAGUCCCGCAACGAGCGCAACCCUUAUUGUUAGUUGCCGGCACGUAAUGGUGGGGACUUUAGCAAGACUGCCAGUGAUAAAUUGGAGGAAGGUGGGGACGACGU